Molecule: ribosomal RNA, 636 nt
Filed under: uncultured marine eukaryote
Lineage: Eukaryota
Description: bacterial SSU rRNA
Rfam family: Eukaryotic small subunit ribosomal RNA
Source: RNAcentral
GUUAAAAUGCUCUAGUUGGAUAUUUGUUGAAAACUGUCGGUCUACCCCAGUGGUCAGCACACGGCUCGCUUUCGAUACUUCCCUGGGGAGAGCGCUUGCACUUAGCUGUGUGACACGUGGUCCAGAACUUGUACUUUGAGGAAAUGAGAGUGUUUCAAUCAGAUGCCUGUCGUGCAUUCAUUAGCAUGGAAUAACAGCAUGGGGCCGCGGUUUGAAAUUGUUGGUCAUCGAGCUGUGGUAACGAAAAUAGGGCUAGUUGGGGGCAUUCGUAUUCAACUGUUAGAGGUGAAAUUCUUGGAUUUCUUAAAGACGAACUACUGCGAAAGCAUCUGCCCAGGAUGUUCUCAUUGAUCAAGAACGAAAGUCAGGGGAUCGAAGACGAUCAGAUACCGUCCUAGUCUUAACCUUAAACCAUGCCGACUAGAGAUUUGGGUCGUCAGAAGCGUGACGCCCUGAGCACCAUAGGGGAAACCAAAGUUUUCGGGCUCCGGGGGGAGUAUGGUCGCAAGGUUGAAACUUAAAGGAAUUGACGGAAGGGCACCACCAGGAGUGGAGCCUGCGGCUUAAUUUGACUCAACACGGGGAAUCUCACCAGGUCCGGACAUGGAGAGGAAUGACGGAUUGACAGCUCUUUCU